Molecule: non-coding RNA, 98 nt
Organism: Acanthosepion pharaonis
Lineage: Eukaryota; Metazoa; Mollusca; Cephalopoda; Sepiida; Sepiidae
Source: the annotation of a GenBank genome assembly
GUUGAGACACCUGUUCCCUUAUGAUCACCGAAGUUAAGCAAUAUUGAGCCUGGUCAGUACUUAGAUGGGUGACCGUUUGGAAAUACCAGGUGCUGUAA